This 331-nucleotide ribosomal RNA is filed under the name uncultured eukaryote. RNAcentral describes it as "partial 18S ribosomal RNA". It matches the Rfam family "Eukaryotic small subunit ribosomal RNA", at positions 1470 to 1796 of the family's 1831-position model. The record is from RNAcentral.
CCCUUAGAUGUCCGGGGCUGCACGCGCGCUACACUGAAUGAAUCAGCGUGCUAGAAAACCUUGUUUGACAUGGCUAGGUAACCCAUUGAAAAUCAUUCGUGAUUGGGAUCGGGAUUUGCAAAUGUGUCCCUUGAACGAGGAAUUCCCAGUAAGUGCGGGUCAUCAGCUCGCGUUGAUUACGUCCCUGCCCUUUGUACACACCGCCCGUCGCUGCCCGGAACUGAGCCGUUUCGAGAAAGCCGGGGACCGACGACUUGUGGGUGCGCAAGCACUUCUAGUCGAUGGAAACCAGUUUAAUCGGUAUGGCUUGAACCAGGCAAAAGUCGUAACA